Molecule: ribosomal RNA, 492 nt
Filed under: uncultured bacterium
Lineage: Bacteria
Description: partial 16S ribosomal RNA
Rfam family: Bacterial small subunit ribosomal RNA
Source: RNAcentral
AGUGAACGCUGGCGGUAGGCCUAACACAUGCAAGUCGAACGGCAGCACAGUAAGAGCUUGCUCUUACGGGUGGCGAGUGGCGGACGGGUGAGGAAUACAUCGGAAUCUACUUUUUCGUGGGGGAUAACGUAGGUAAACUUACGCUAAUACCGCAUACGACCUACGGGUGAAAGCAGGGGAUCUUCGGACCUUGCGCGAUUGAAUGAGCCGAUGUCGGAUUAGCUAGUUGGCGGGGUAAAGGCCCACCAAGGCGACGAUCCGUAGCUGGUCUGAGAGGAUGAUCAGCCACACUGGAACUGAGACACGGUCCAGACUCCUAAGGGAGGCAGCAGUGGGGAAUAUUGGACAAUGGGCGCAAGCCUGAUCCAGCCAUACCGCGUGGGUGAAGAAGGCCUUCGGGUUGUAAAGCCCUUUUGUUGGGAAAGAAAAGCAGCAGGUUAAUACCCCGCUGUUCUGACGGUACCCAAAGAAUAAGCACCGGCUAACUUCGUG